GGAAGUGGUCUUCAGAGCAGGCUCUCCAUCAGAUUCUCAGGCUCACCAGCCAGGCUUCUUGGCCUCUGGCCCUCCUCCUUUUGCCUACAUUUCUGGGAGAUUCUCCAGCCAGGCCCAAGGCAGGUCUCCUUAUAUGGUCAAUGCCUCUUGUAAACAAGGGGCCCCUAAAAAUAAGCUGAGGCUGAGCUUGUGGAUAGGUCUCAGCUGUAUAAGCUUCCUUUCUUCUCCCCCUGAACUCAGGCAGACACACCUGGAACUACUGUGGCACCUGGGAUGCUCCUUGCAGCCAAUGCCAGGAGAAUCGUCCUGGAGGCUUGUCUAGAAGAAUACACGCAGAUCACAGAUUCCAAAGCCCUUUAUUGAGCGCUCUGCUCUCCAGCCUGUGGACUAACAUCUCUUUCCAAGUGUGGCAUCCAGACUGGAACCCAGAACUCCCACCAUGACCCUGCCAGUGUGGAGCAGAACGCACCUCCCUAACUUUGGACUGUAUGCCUCUGCCCGUGCCACCCUAAGGAGCACCAGCCUGCCUGUUGGCGCCUUCACGUUGCAGGCUGAUAUUGAGCUUGUUAUCAGUUCAAACUCUAAAUCUUCCCUUAUCUUAUUGCAACAUAGACCUCCUCACCUAUGUCCCUGCGAAUUUGCUUUUUGGACUCAAGGAUGAGACCUGUUUCUAUCAAGGAUGGAAAAUAUGUGCAAUGCCCGUGCCCAUGGACCUUGCUUACAUCCAUGGACCCUCUUAUUUCCACCUUUUCCUCUGAGCCUGAAUAGGCCUCAGAAUCCUUCUCAACAUAAUGCUUCAGUUAGUCAUUACCAGUCGUCUCUCAGAGUUGGUACACAAGGACAAACGCAAUAGCCUUUCUUAUUUUUCAUUGAUUCACAUUAUAUUUUAUAUUUAACCCAUCAUGGCAAAGGAUAAAUCAAGGCAUACUGAGGAUAGAAAACUGGUAUAAUGAUCAACGUAAGAGAGCUUGAUAAAAUUAAUACCACAUGUGUUUAGAGAAUUAGAAGGUUGGUGGCAGCAAAGGUGCGAUAGUUUUUAUUAUUCAAAAAGUCUUCAUUUUCUUUAACACCGAAGGCCUUAUUUUGUGAACAGGUUGUGCCAGAAACCUAAGCAUUUGCAGAAAUCAUGAUUGCAUCUCCCCUCAGUGAUUUAGCUUCUUUCUACUGCCU
This 1170-nucleotide long non-coding RNA is filed under the name Equus asinus (donkey). RNAcentral's name for it is "lncRNA (ENSEASG00005029601.1)". Lineage: Eukaryota; Metazoa; Chordata; Mammalia; Perissodactyla; Equidae. The record is from RNAcentral.